This 497-nucleotide ribosomal RNA is filed under the name uncultured bacterium. Its description in RNAcentral is "partial 16S ribosomal RNA". It matches the Rfam family "Bacterial small subunit ribosomal RNA", at positions 28 to 507 of the family's 1533-position model. The record is from RNAcentral.
GAUGAACGCUGGCGGCGUGCCUAAUACAUGCAAGUCGAGCGAACAGACGAGGCGCUUGCUCCUCUGAAGUUAGCGGCGGACGGGUGAGUAACACGUGGAUAACCUACCUAUAAGACUGGGAAAACUUAGGGACACCGGAACUAAUACCGGUUAAUAUCAUCAACCGCAUGGUUCAAUAGUGAAAGACGGUUUUGCUGUCACUUAUAGCUGGCUCCGCACCGCAUUCGCUAGUUGGACAGGUAACGGCUUAACAAGGCAACUAUGCGUAGCCGACCUGAGAGGGUGACGGGCCACACUGGAACACGAUCACGGACCAGACACCAACAGGAGGCAGCAUUAGGUUAUCUUCCGCAAUAAGCGAAAAGCUUACAGAGCAAUGCCGCGUGGAUGAUGAAAGUCUUCGGAUCGUAAAACUCUUUUAUUAUGUAAGAACAAAUGUAUAAUUAUCUAUGCACAUCUUGACGGGAGCGAGUCAGAAAGCCACGGCGAGGUACGUG